Long non-coding RNA from Mauremys mutica (yellowpond turtle), 6315 nucleotides. RefSeq lists it as uncharacterized. Lineage: Eukaryota; Metazoa; Chordata; Testudines; Geoemydidae. The record is from RefSeq and is a predicted model, not a curated record. The transcript is spliced from 3 exons.
ACACCCCAACCGCUCAUCCCCAGCCCCACCCCAGAGCCUGUGCCCCCAGCCAGGGCCCUCACACACUCCUACACCUCAACCCCCUGUCCCAGCCCAGAACCCCUUCCUGCACUCUGAACACCUCAGCCCCAGCAUGGUGCCCCCUUUUGCACACAAAUCCCUGUUCACUGGCCCCACACCAGAGCCCGCAUCCCCAGCUGGAGCCCUCACUCCCGUGCACCCCAACACCCUGCCCCAGCACAGAGCCUCCUCCUGCACCUUGAACCCCUAAUUUCUGGCCCCAGCCCAGAGCCCAUACUUCCUCCCACACCCCAACCCCCUGCCUCAGCCCGGAGUCCCCUCCCAUAGUCCAAACCCAUCAGCUCCACUCCUCAAACCAGAGCCCCUUCCUGUAUUCUAAACCCUUCAUCCCUGGCCCCAUCCCAGAGCCCUCACUGCCUCAGCCCAGAGCCUGCACCCAAGCCAGAGCCCUCCCACACCCCAACCCCCUGAGCCAGCCCGGUGAAAAUGAGUGAGGGUGGGGAGAGGGAGCAACAGAGGGAGGAAGAAAUGGAGUGAGCGGGGUGAGGCCUUGCAGAAGGGGCGGAGCAUGGGUGUUCAGUUUUGUGGGAGUAGAAAGUUGGCAACCCUAGGUGUAAGCUCCACCCUGCGGUGAAGCUCCAUGUACAUUACACAUUUCUGCCAGCUGUGCACCAUGGAGACAGCCUCAAGGAGACAUCAGACAGGUGGGCUGAUCUGAGCUCCAAGGCUGAGGGCCAAGCUAUGCCCCUAGUAUGUUCUCUGCAUACUAGGGGCAUAGCCAUGGCCCAGCUAUGCCCCUAGUAUGCAGAGAACAAGCAAAUAGUUCCCAAACCAACCCCCACUCUCCAAGUCCUGCACACAACACUGCAUACAACACUCUCCAAGUCCUGCUACCUCCAAGCACAGUCUGCAGCUAUGCCCUCUGAAAUGCACAUUAGCUGCCUCUGUUUGCAGCAAGCACUCAACACCUAGCUAGGGGUUGAGAGCACCCCCCCCACCCCUUCCAAGCCCCAGCCAUCCCUGGGGCCUGGCCUUUGUACAGUGCCAAGCUCUUCCCAGGACAUGGACAGCUUUAGUUCCUCCUGCACCAUCAGGCAUUGGUCCCUUCUGACUGCUCCCCAGCUGGCAUUAAGUGCUCGUGGCAGCAGCUACUGGAGAAGGUACCCCGGCCCACCGCUAAGGCAAAGCCAGGGUUGGGUGGGUACUCUGCAUUCCUUCGCCCCCCCACCCCCCCAUAGCUGGGGUCAAGUUGGAAGGGAGAGCGCUAGAUGAGGAGCUCUGAGCACCUCUCAGGCCUGGUACAAGGCAGCCCAAGGUAGAGGCUGCUCUGGUCAGCCCAGGGACGUUGGCUCAGCCACAUGGGUGGGCUCAGAGCUGGCGUGGCUUGCAGUUGUUAACCCCUUGUGCAGAUGGAAUCCCAAGUGUUCCAAGCCAUGUGGUGCACUGGGUCAAGGUGAGAUUUGGCCCAAAAGCAGCAUGGAGGAGACCUGUAGUUCCCUGCCCUUGGAGACUGGCCUAGAAGCAGGAGAUCCAGCCGCUAUUCCAGCUCCAUGACUAGGAGGCACCUGCCCACUCCCUGAUGACCCUGCUAGCUUGGGGAGAUACCUGGUGGUCUUUGCCAACUCCCUCACCUUCAUUUAAAAAGGUACCAGAGCCACAGGUCUGAUGGCCAAGGAGAGUUUAUUUUGUUAACAGCUCGACAAGCGGGGAGCCAGGUGCCCAGUGCUGCCAGGUGCCCAGUGCUGCCAGGCCCAAGGACCAUGAGUUAGGCCCGGAGCCUGCCAUUCCCACACACCUGCAAGGAAAGAGACACAUCAAAAGUGGGGCCAGCCCUGGGGCUGCAGGGCCUGCAUGGGAGGAAGCAGCACAAUGAUGGGCACUGCCAGGCUGGUGGGGUCCAUGGGACCCAAUCUCAGGGCUCUGCCAUCUGCACUGGGUUACCGAGCGCCUGCUGAAGGUCAGGCCGUGACAUGGGGCUAGCUUUAUGACUGCACCUUGGAGCCCAGAAUGGGCGACUUAGCACCCCUGCCCAGCAGGACCCGUGCCCCAGAGGAUGCUGGGAGCCCCACCAAUAUGUGUCACUCCUGACUCCUUGCAGUCAGGGAGCUGGUAGGCAAGGCUCAUGGUGAGGGGGCGACGCACGUGAAGAGUUCCAGUGCAGGGAGAAGGAAGGUGGCUUGCUCUAGGAGACUGGCCAAUCAACCUGCCCACACCCUGGCUGGCCUCCCCUGCUGCCACGCAGAUCCAAAGGCCUGGGCUUCAGCUGCUCUCCUCCUGAGGCUUACAAAGCAAACACCAGGGCAUGGAUCAGUGCAACCCUCUGUGCGCCUAACUCUCCAGGAGUCCUGCCUGAACAGGGCAGAGCCCAGGGGGGCUCUGGAAGUGUCUACACUGUGGCUGGGAGUGAGCCACCCAGCCUGAGAAGAGACUUGCGCUAGAUCCCCUCACUACUGUGCUAAAAAUAGCUGUGUGGCCACUGCAGCUUGGACAAGAGCUCCGCUCUCACAUCACUCGACCCACUGGCUCUGUGAGCUUGGGGGCUAGUCUCCGCUGGAGCUGCAAUGGCCACACAGCGAUUUUCUAGCAUGCUAGCUCGCUCCCAGCUGAAGUGCAGCACAGGCAGACAUACCCUGCCCCACAUGUCCCCGGUUCUCUGGGCUGGGAGCCACCUUCCCAGGCCACAGAGAGGUCUGGGCACCAAGGAAGGCCUGCCCAUUGGGUGGGCGGAUCCCAGCAAGUGCCCUGGGACCUGGGGAUCACUUACCUCAACCCACAGGUCGGUGGGGCACUGAUACCGCAUUCUCCCCCAGCUGCUGCUGGGCUGAGACCCAGAGCAUCUCUGUCAAGGGGUAGCGGCAGCGCAGAGUCAGCCUGCAGAGGGAGACGCUGGCUUAGCCAGGUGGGUGGGAACUUUGGAGUUCUCAAGCCAGUUGACACUGGCUGCAGGGACACCCCUCCCAGCCCCAUAGCUGGCCUCACCUGUACCGCGAGUCCCGGGUGAUGAUGGGGGAUGUGGGUGGGACCCCCUCAGGCACAAAGGUCACCUCAUUCUCAUACACCAGGUAGCCUCCUUCAAACUGUGCAGGGGAGACAGGGUCAGAGGGCAGACAGCAGCGAGGGAGGCUGGGAUUCCUUGGGCUUCCCCCACCCCCGGGAGCUCAGCACCCAAAUCUUAGUGAAAUCCAGCCUGCUAGAAAUGCCAGCCCCAUGGAGUCACAGCUUCUGGUGCACUCCCAGGACUACCCACCCCCUUUGCAUUAGGGGCACACGCACACACAUCUCCCUGGGCGAUGGGGCUUGGCUCAGCUAAAACACAGGGUCUGAGGAGAGCGAAUCCAGCCAUCUGGGCUGGCCUCUAGCUUUGGUGGGGGGCCUGCACCCCAGAUAGCUUGCUUUACUGACACCCAGCCUGCACCACCACCCUGCUGCCACCCCAUGGCAAAGCCCUGCCACCAUCCCAGUGGGCCCAGCAUCAGAGCAUGACUAAGCGAGAGCUGCAGAGCCCUACAGCAUUAGACCCACCCUCCUGUCACCAGAUGCUCCUCCCCAGUCUCAGCCACCAGCUGCCAGCCCUCCCCACCCCCAAGAGGAAAGUAUGUGCCAUGGGGGGCUCACCCGCCGUGUGGUCCCACAGGAGGCCAGAGAGAAGGAGAAGAGGGCCCGUGAGGAAUCAGAGGCCACUGGCCCACAGUCUGGGUCCUUCAGGUGGGUCCGGCGUGGGUCAAGGGCAGGCUUGGUGUCCCGGCUCAGCACCAUGGCCACCAAGGUGCCGUUGGGCAGGCACACUGUGCCCAGGAAGGGUGUGGGGGGGAAAGAGUCAGGAUCAGACCCAGAGUUCCCACCUUCACCCCUCAUUCACCCAGCAGGAGCUACUGGGUCAGCAUGAGGCUCUCAGACCCCUCUGCUGCCCCACAAAUCCUAUGCAUGGUGUGGUCAGUGCAGGAGGGAUCUGUGGCCGGUGUGGAUAAUCCCAGGUGGGGCAGCCAUUCCCCAUGGGGUGGGGUUGGGGGCAAGGCUACAGUCAGGAUGUGAGGCCGAUGGCUGCGUAGGAGGUGGGUUAAGGAAUCUCAGCCCAGGCCCCACUGGCUGAGCCAGAUCUAGAGGAAAAGGGAUGCCUGUGCCACUGAUCACUUUACCCCAGUGGAAUCUAAGGCCCAGAGGCACCCCCCUACCCACCCCCACAGGGGACAUCCCAUGCUUCUGGCAGGAGGUCUCCACCCAGGCACUCACCCAACAACUGCCCAGUGGGGAAGGUGCAGACAACGGCGAAGGAAGCCAGGACUGAGCGAGUCUUGUUGUCCCGCAAAGAGAAAUCCAGCCGAGCCGUCAGCCCUUGGAGGGAGAUGCUCUGAGGGUGUGAGAGUGACUCGGGGGCUGAGCACCAGCCCUGGCACCAGUCAUGAACCCUCCCUGCCAGGUCCCAGCAGAGCCCAAGGCUUUGGAGAGGUCAGGCAUCACUAGUGCUUGGGCUGGCUCCUGCCCCCAUGCGUCCUGAGAGCAGGAGGGGCAGGGGCUACCCACAAGGCCUUGCUGGGGAUGACACAAGGCAAGCUGGGACCAAGGAGGCAGCCAGCCAGACCAGUCCAGAACUCCAGCGAGAGCUAGAUCAGUGGGUUAUCCCAGUUCCCAGAGUGCCAGGCCCCCUACCCAUUCUGUGGGGCAGCAGCCCCUUCACCCCUAUUCUUGGAGGAACCAUGCUGUAGGCAGAAACUGGCUGCUUUGUGGGAUUUGGAGUCACUUCCCUCUCAGAGGCAAUGAGUUUGCAUGUUGGAUUUUGCCCAUCCUCCAUGGCACAGUGGGGCAGGGGGAGGUGUCACCCAACUAUGGGUGCCACUACCUGGGCCUUGGUGUGGAUUUGCAGAGACUGUGGCCUAUCAUCGAAAGCCAGGCUGGGGAGACCAGCCAGUGUGAGAGAUGCCUUCUCUUAGAAUCUCUCAGGAUACUGGUGAGAGAGCUACAGGAGUAGGUGGCUAGGCUGAGAAGCAUCCGUGAACACAAGGAAUUCCUUGAAAACUUGCAUAUAGAGAUCUCCAAGGCUGAGGAACCAAUCCAGCUGGAGACGACUGCAGUAGCACCCACCAGGGCAGAAGGAAACAGCUCCUUCACAGAGAGAAAUCUGGCUGCUAGUUACUUCCGGCAGCAGGCAGUCCUCCACUCUGGCUCCCAACCCCCAGCUGUAGACAUGACAAACCAGUAUUCUGCCCUGGCAAUAAAGGAUGAGGAAUCCCCUGCAAAGGUGAAGGAGGCCAAGGCUGCAAGGAUCACAACCACUACUCCGAAGAGGAAUCGAAGGGUGGUGAUGGGUUACCUUGUGGACAGGGGAAAGCAGUAGCAGAGCUUUGGAUACUGUCUCACAUGACCCUCUAGAGAAGUAUAGCCUAGAUGAGCCUACUAUAAGGAUGGAGAAGUCAGGAGGAAGUGACUGGCUUUGACUUCUGGCCACGUUCCUGAAGAAUGGCUCCAUCCCAGGGCAGCUGAGUUUGCUGACUGAAAGCUCACCCAUUGGAGUCUGAGCACCUCAUGUGUUUGGAAAGUGAUGGGAACACGUGGAUGUCCCCAGUUAAAAGUAGGUGGCAGGCAGCCUUUUUUCUUGCUCCCUCCCAGGAGAACUGCAACCCCCACCAGAACAUUUUCCAUUCUCCUUCCCCACUGCUCUUGCCCCUCCCCACCCCCAGCUCCCCCACCUACCUCAUACACCAGCCCAGCAGCCAGAAGGGGGACAGCCAGGUGGAAAUGGCGACCAUCAUCAGACACUCUGUAACUGUGGGGGGCAGCCAGCUGGCUCAGGGGCCGCUCUCCGACAUAGGGAACCCAGAACCGGUCCAGUGUCCCGUGGGUCAUCAGCAGGGCCAGCGCCCCAGCCUCACAGGAGCCCUGGAAGCUGGGGGGCACUAACAGGAGCAGAAGGGGUUAAAUAUGGGCCCAGUCACUCUGAGCACUCCAGAGCCAAGGGCUCAGCCAGGCCCUGCACUGGGAUGUGGGAAGCUGCAGGCCAUGGCCAGGAGGGGUAGGGGCACUGAGCCAGGAGUGGUAGGGGUCCCUGAGAGCCACAGGACCCCCAACACACACACACCUGCCACUCAUGCCAACCCCACCCAUGCCCCUGACCUCCAUGUUUCCCCCCACUCACACCAAUCCCAGGCCCUGCUUGUCCAUGCCACCUUGCUGCACUCACAGUGCCCCAGCCCAUGCCCACACAGCUACCCAUGCCCCUCCCACCACCCCCAGCCUGUACAUAAGAACAUAAGAAAGGCCGUACUGUGUCAGACCAAAGGUCCAUCCAGCCCAGUAUCC